UACGCAGGGUGCAAGCGUUACUCGGAAUUACUGGGCGUAAAGCGUGCGUAGGUGGUUUGUUAAGUCUGAUGUGAAAGCCCUGGGCUCAACCUGGGAAUGGCAUUGGAUACUGGCGAGCUAGAGUGCGGUAGAGGGUAGUGGAAUUCCCGGUGUAGCAGUGAAAUGCGUAGAGAUCGGGAGGAACAUCUGUGGCGAAGGCGAGUCCCUGGACAACUCCUGACACUGAGGCACGAAAGCUAGGGGAGCAAACAGG
Molecule: ribosomal RNA, 253 nt
Filed under: uncultured bacterium
Lineage: Bacteria
Description: partial 16S ribosomal RNA
Rfam family: Bacterial small subunit ribosomal RNA
Source: RNAcentral